CCUACGGGGGGCAGCAGUGAGGAAUAUUGGUCAAUGGCCGUAAGGCUGAACCAGCCAAGUAGCGUGAGGGAAGACUGCCCUAUGGGUUGUAAACCUCUUUUAUGCGGGGAUAAAGGUGUCCACGUGUGGAUGUUUGUAGGUACCGCAUGAAUAAGGACCGGCUAAUUCCGUGCCAGCAGCCGCGGUAAUACGGAAGGUCCGGGCGUUAUCCGGAUUUAUUGGGUUUAAAGGGAGCGUAGGCCGGCUUUUAAGUCAGCUGUGAAAGUCCGCGGCUCAACCGUGGAAUUGCAGUUGAAACUGGAGGCCUUGAGUGCACACAGGGAUGCCGGAAUUCAUGGUGUAGCGGUGAAAUGCUUAGAUAUCAUGAAGAACUCCGAUCGCGAAGGCAAGUGUCCGGGGUGCAACUGACGCUGAGGCUCGAAAGUGCGGGUAUCAAACAGGAUUAGAUACCCUGGUAGUC
RNAcentral lists this ribosomal RNA (460 nucleotides) under uncultured bacterium. Its description in RNAcentral is "partial 16S ribosomal RNA". It matches the Rfam family "Bacterial small subunit ribosomal RNA", at positions 338 to 795 of the family's 1533-position model. The record is from RNAcentral.